GUGCUUGUUUCACAGCACAUAUACUAACAUCAGAAUGAUACAGAGAAGAUUAGCAUGGCCCCUGGGCAAGGAUGACACAACAAUUCUAAAAAAAAUAAAAAGCCUG
This 106-nucleotide small nuclear RNA is filed under the name Cebus imitator (Panamanian white-faced capuchin). The record is from RNAcentral. Lineage: Eukaryota; Metazoa; Chordata; Mammalia; Primates; Cebidae.